Molecule: ribosomal RNA, 423 nt
Filed under: uncultured bacterium
Lineage: Bacteria
Description: partial 16S ribosomal RNA
Rfam family: Bacterial small subunit ribosomal RNA
Source: RNAcentral
GAAUAUUGGACAAUGGGCGAAAGCCUGAUCCAGCCAUGCCGCGUGUGUGAAGAAGGUCUUCGGAUUGUAAAGCACUUUAAGUUGGGAGGAAGGGCAGUAAGCGAAUACCUUGCUGUUUUGACGUUACCGACCGAAUAAGCACCGGCUAACUCUGUGCCAGCCGCCGCGGUAAUACAGAGGGUGCAACAGUUAGUCGGAAUUACUGGGGGUCAAGGGGGCGUAGGUGGUUCGGUAAGUUGGAUGUGAAAUCCCCGGGCUCAACCUGGGAACUGCAUCCAAAACUGGCGAGCUAGAGUAGGGAAGAGGGUGGUGGAAUUUCCUGUGUAGCGGUGAAAUGCGUAGAUAUAGGAAGGAACACCAGUGGCGAAGGCGACCACCUGGGCUCAUACUGACACUGAGGUGCGAAAGCGUGGGGAGCAAACA